This 459-nucleotide ribosomal RNA is filed under the name uncultured bacterium. Its description in RNAcentral is "partial 16S ribosomal RNA". It matches the Rfam family "Bacterial small subunit ribosomal RNA", at positions 338 to 795 of the family's 1533-position model. The record is from RNAcentral.
CCUACGGGAGGCAGCAGUGAGGAAUAUUGGUCAAUGGGCGGGAGCCUGAACCAGCCAAGCCGCGUGAGGGAAGAAGGUACAGCGUAUCGUAAACCUCUUUUGUCAGGGAACAAAGGCGGGGACUAGUCCCCGGAUGAGGGUACCUGAAGAAACAGCAUCGGCUAACUCCGUGUCAGCAGCCGCGGUAAUACGGAGGAUGAGAGCGUUAUCCGGAUUUAUUGGGGCUAAAGGGUGGGCAGGCGGCCUGGUAAGUUAGAGGUAAAAGCACGGGUCUCAACCCCGGCGAGCCGUUGAAACUGGCGGGCUGGAGUUGGAGAGAGGUACGCGGAAUGCGCGGUGUAGCGGUGAAAUGCGUAGAUAUCGCGCAGAACCCCGAUGGCGAAGGCAGCGUACCGGCUCCACACUGACGCUGAGGCACGAAAGCGUGGGUAUCGAACAGGAUUAGAUACCCCAGUAGUC